UUGAAGAUUUCACAAAACAUUUCUGUACACAAUUAAAAAGGACACAUUUGAGAUAUAAUGGAAGGGAAAGCUGUUAUCAUUUUCUUUGGAUUUAUAGCAUGUGCUUUUGCUGUAUAUCCAGUGAAGAAAGCUUGUGAAAUUGAAUGCUCUAGUCAUUUAGAUUGUCAAACUGGAUACAGUUGUAAAACAAUUGGCUGUAAUCGUAUGUGCAGACCUGAAAGAGUAAUUUUAUCAAAUGCAGUAGUCAGAUCAGACAUUAUUACAUCAGGAUGCGUUGAGAGAUGUUUGGUGCAAGGUGGGCGAGAUUGCAGACGUCUUUGUCAGCGUGAUGUAGAUUCAUUUCCAGGAGGCCGAAUCAUCACUGGAGAUUCCUUAGACAGUACCCUCACAGGUGCUCUAGUAGAUUCUAUUCGGUCAGGUAGUCUAGUUAGACGUAUCUCGCCAGUAGAUUCUAUUCGGUCAGAUAGUCUAGUUAGACGUAUCUCGCCAGUAGAUUCUAUUCGAUCAGGUAGUCUAGUUAGACGUAUCUUGCCAGUUGAUUCAAUAGGCUGUAAAAAUACGUGCAUUUCACGGGGCUGCAACUUCAACGAGGAAUGUGUCACAAGAAAUGGAUGUUCUGUAUGUGUUCUUGCCAAGACCUACGCAUAAAAUAAGACAACCAAGGCCACAAUAGAUAGUGCAAUAUUUAUCUGAUAUUCAUCCAUGUAUUGUAGUAUUUAUUGUUUUUUGUUUCUAUACAUAAAUAAAGCAUAUGACGUAACAGAGAGUUUCAGUUAAUUGUUGUUCUUAAAAUUGAAAGAUGACUCUAACACAAUCUGAAAACAA
Molecule: RNA transcript, 825 nt
Organism: Mytilus californianus (California mussel)
Lineage: Eukaryota; Metazoa; Mollusca; Bivalvia; Mytilida; Mytilidae
Exons: 3
Source: RefSeq, a predicted model, not a curated record